GUGAAUCAUCGAAUCUUUGAACGCAAAUUGCACUCUCCGGUUUUCCGGGAGAGUAUGCCUGUUUGAGGGUCAGCCUAAAAAAAAAUCGACAUUGUUGCUGUUAUUUAAUGGUUACUUUCGUCGGAGAUUGGGUUAUCUUAAACCUUUUUUUUUUUUUGUUUUAAGCGACUUAAAUUUUUUUUUCCCGAUUCCUUUAACUUUUUCAGGAUUUUUUUUUUUUUCCCG
Molecule: unclassified non-coding RNA, 225 nt
Filed under: Glomus sp.
Lineage: Eukaryota; Fungi; Glomeromycota; Glomeromycetes; Glomerales; Glomeraceae
Description: partial contains 5.8S ribosomal RNA and internal transcribed spacer 2
Rfam family: 5.8S ribosomal RNA (bases 1-72)
Source: RNAcentral